Molecule: long non-coding RNA, 1250 nt
Organism: Oncorhynchus tshawytscha (Chinook salmon)
Lineage: Eukaryota; Metazoa; Chordata; Actinopteri; Salmoniformes; Salmonidae
Exons: 5
Source: RefSeq, a predicted model, not a curated record
CCACAGUCCCAACAGCCAACAUAAGGCUAGGUAGAAGGACACCUCAGUUCCCAUCAGCCAACACAAGGCUAGGUAGAAGGACACCACAGUCCCAACAGCCAACACAAGGCUAGGUAGAAGGACACCACAGUCCCAUCAGCCAACACAAGGCUAGGUAGAAGGACACCACAGUCCCAACAGCCAACAUAAGGCUAGGUAGAAGGACACCUCAGUUCCAUCAGCCAACAUAAGGCUAGGUAGAAGGACACCUCAGUCCCAUCAGCCAACAUAAGGCUAGGUAGAAGGAACCCUGGUUCAAUCAGCCAACAUAAGGCUAGGUAGAAGGACACCUCAGUCCCAUCAGCCAACAUAAGGCUAGGUAGAAGGACACCUCAGUCCCAUCAGCCAACAUAAGGCUAGGUAGAAGGUCACCUCAGUUCAAUCAGCCAGCAUAAGGCUAGGUAGAAGGACACCUCAGUCCCAUCAGCCAACAUAAGGCUAGGUAGAAGGACACCUCAGUCCCAUCAGCCAACAUAAGGCUAGGUAGAAGGACACCUCAGUCCCAUCAGCCAACAUAAGGCUAGGUAGAAGGACACCUCAGUCCCAUCAGCCAACAUAAGGCUAGGUAGAAGGACACCUCAGUCCCAUCAGCCAACAUAAGGCUAGGUAGAAGGACACCUCAGUCCCAUCAGCCAACAUAAGGCUAGGUAGAAGGACACCUCAGUCCCAUCAGCCAACAUAAGGCUAGGUAGAAGGACACCUCAGUCCCAACAGCCAACAUAAGGCUAGGUAGAAGGACACCUCAGUCCCAUCAGCCAACUCAAGGCUAGGUAGAAGGACACCUCAGUCCCAUCAGCCAACAUAAGGCUAGGUAGAAGGACACCUCAGUCCCAUCAGCCAACUCAAGGCUAGGUAGAAGGACACCUCAGUCCCAUCAGCCAACAUAAGGCUAGGUAGAAGGACACCUCAGUCCCAUCAGCCAACAUAAGGCUAGGUAGAAGGACACCUCAGUCCCAUCAGCCAACAUAAGGCUAGGUAGAAGGACACCUCAGUCCCAUCAGCCAACAUAAGGCUAGGUAGAAGGACACCUCAGUCCCAUCAGCCAACAUAAGGCUAGGUAGAAGGACACCUCAGUCCCAUCAGCCAACAUAAGGCUAGGUAGAAGGACACCUCAGUCCCAUCAGCCAACAUAAGGCUAGGUAGAAGGACACCUCAGUCCCAUCAGCCAACAUAAGGCUAGGUAGAAGGACACCUCAGUCCCAUCAGCCAAC